This 499-nucleotide unclassified non-coding RNA is filed under the name uncultured Glomus. RNAcentral's name for it is "SSU rRNA". It matches the Rfam family "Eukaryotic small subunit ribosomal RNA", at positions 591 to 1092 of the family's 1831-position model. Lineage: Eukaryota; Fungi; Glomeromycota; Glomeromycetes; Glomerales; Glomeraceae. The record is from RNAcentral.
CCAAUAGCGUAUAUUAAAGUUGUUGCAGUUAAAAAGCUCGUAGUUGAAUUUCGGGAUCAAUUUGUCGGUCGUGCCUCGGUACGUACUGGCAUUAUUGGUUUCUCCCUUCUGACGAACCACGAUGUCAUUAAUUUGGUGUCGCGGGAAAUCAGGACUGUUACUUUGAAAAAAUUAGAGGGUUUAAAGCAAGCUCACGCUUGAAUACAUUAGCAUGGAAUAAUGAAAUAGGACGUUUGAUUCUAUUUUGUUGGUUUUUAGGAUCGACGUAAUGAUUAAUAGGGAUAGUUGGGGGCAUUAGUAUUCAAUUGUCAGAGGUUAAAUUCUUGGAUUUAUUGAAGACUAACUACUGCGAAAGCAUUUGCCAAGGAUGUUUUCAUUAAUCAAGAACGAAAGUUAGGGGAUCGAAGACGAUCAGAUACCGUCGUAGUCUUAACCAUAAACUAUGCCGACUAGGGAUCGGAUGAUGUUAAUUUUUUAAUGACUCAUUCGGCGCCUUACG